This 3009-nucleotide long non-coding RNA is filed under the name Mus musculus (house mouse). RNAcentral describes it as "long non-coding RNA chr4:127079567-127082576". Lineage: Eukaryota; Metazoa; Chordata; Mammalia; Rodentia; Muridae. The record is from RNAcentral.
AAAAAAGCUAAGCAUGUGUAUGGAUCAGUUAGUAAACAUUAGAUAGGGUUCAAACGUAGAUAGUAAGAUUUCAGAAAACAUGCCCUUCCAUAUGUAGCUUGAGUCAAGAAGAUUCAGCAGAUCAGAAACUUACGAAUUUUGAUUUUGAUUUUAAGAGCAAUGGACAUUAUAGGGUUAGUGUGUUUUGAGACAGUCUCAUGUAACCCAGGCUGUCCUUAGAUUUACUGAGUAGCUCAGGGUGACCUUAAACUUCUGAUCCUCUUGCCUUUGCUUCUCAAGUGCUGAAAUUACUGGUGUGGGCCUCCAUGCCAAGUUUUCAUUGCAGGGACAGUAAUAUGAAACAGAACAAUCUGGAAAGAUCAUUCUGGCUAUUCCCUAAAGAUAGAUUAGAAACAAAAAUAAUCUGUGGAGUAGAGAGUCAUUUAUUUUGGCAAUAAUUUUUUUCUUUAACCUUCUUGAGCAGUUCUUUGUUUUAUGAUCUUUAGUUACUGACUUUAUUGUAGAAACAUAGCAAUAGUAUUUAUUUAAGCAUACCGAAAAUUAAUACAUUAAAAGUAAGAUUUAAUGUCUCACUCCAUCUCACAGCAGGGUUAUUCCAGGGCAGAAGUGCCAGGUAGAUUUGUCUUGCUUGUGAGUUCCAUGCUGGCUCUGCUCUGGCAGUGAGCUGAGAAGGUUCGAAGGUGGUGUGUGCAGUGUGUGAAGUGAGUGAGUGAGUGGUGGAGGCCUCCAGUCUACUGACAUCUCAUCUCAUGCUUACCUUCCCUUUAACUGGUAAAUUGUUCCUCUUGCCUUAUCCCCCGUAACCAUUUGUUUGCCAAGUUAUGUGGAUUCUGCUUUUUAAAUUUAUUUUGAAUCUAAUUUCCAUUUCCCCAUUUUAUCAUUUUUCAUGUGGAAUGUCCUGCACCAGUCCUUUACUCGUGUGGCCCUCCAAACACCGAGGACUGCUGCCUUUGGAGUCUAGUUAAAAAAUUACUUAUUUACUUUUAUUUUAUGUGCAUUGGUGUUCUGCCUGCUUAUGUGUAUGAGAGUGUCAAAUCCCGUGAAACUGGAGUUACAGACAGUUGGGAGCUGCCAUGUGGGUGCUGGGAAUUGAACCCAUGUCCUUUGAAAGAGGAGCCAGUGCUCUUAACCACUGAGCCAUAUCUCCAGCCCCCAGAUUUUGUUUUAUUUAUUAAAUUUUAAAAUUAUUUUAUAUGCUUUAUUUUUUAAUUUCAAUACUGUUUUUAAUGUGUGUGUGUGUGUGGAGAUAAGAGGAGGGCAUCAGAUCCCUGACUGGAGUUUUAGGUGUUUGUGAACUGAUUGAUUGGGUCCUGAAGCUGAACCUAGGUCAUCUGGAAAAGCCUAGAGUUUUAUAUCCUGAUCCUCAGUCACUAGGUAGACAGAGACAGACAGAGACAAGGGGCCUGAUGUGAUCUUUUGAAACCUGAAAGCCCACUCCAGGGACACACCCCCUUCAACAAGGCCACACCUCCUAGUUCUCUGUCAGUUGGAAAAUAAGCAGGCAGCUGCAUGAGCCAAUCGGUGCCAUCUCAUUCAAACCACCACACUUACAUCUUAAAAGCAUCUUAAAAGCUUUUUUGUCUAGGAAUUUCCCAUGCCAAGAGAAUUAGGUAGGUUUGUUUUUGGUUUUGGGGUUUUUUUUUUGUUUGUUUGUUUUUUUGUUUUUUGUUUUUGGUGGUUUUUUAAAAUUCAGCUUCAUUCAUGUUCUCAGGACCCAGGCAGAAUAAAACAGAUGAUUGGCCAGACCUUAUAGGAUUUUUGUUUGUACAUUUUCUGAUUUUGUGUUCUUGUGUGAAUGUGUGUCUCUGUGUUUGUGUUCCUUGUGCUUUUUGUUGUUGUUACCUGUUCAUUUUCUAAUGAGAGAGAAAGGGUGUAGAUUUGUGUGGGUGGACAGGUAGGAAAACAUCUGGGAGGAGGGAAACUGUGAUUAGAAUAUAUUGUAUGAAAAAAAUGUAUUUACAAUUAAAAGGAAAAACUUUUUUUUUUGUUUUUGUUUUUUUUUGAGACAGCGUUUCCUCUGUGUAGCCCUGGAUGUCCUGUCACUUAUUUGUAGAUCAGGCUGGCCUUGAACCCAGAGAUCACCUGCCUCGGCCUUCUCUGUGCCACCACUGCCCAGCAAUAAAAAUAUUUUAAUUGAAAUAGAAUUAUAUCAUUUUAUUCUUUCCUUUUCUUCCUUUCAGCCCCCUCCAGGCACAAGUAUAUAAAUACCACCUCCUGACUUCCUUUUUUUGUUGAUAGUGUAUAUGUAGUUCCAGGGCUGGCCUCUCUGCACUCUGCACUGGACAGCCGUUAGGAAAGGUGAUCAUUCCUGGGAGAGGCUGAUCUGUCUUCCAGCAGUCAUUGCUGCCUGUAGUUCUGUGUGCUAGGAUGGGAUUCCAUUACAAUUUUACCCCUCUAUGUAAACACAUUCAUUGAUAAUGCAAUUGGGAGUAAAAUCUAAAAGCCAUUUCUUGGUGCUACACUUUUUCCUGCAAGGGUCUACCUCCUGAAGGUUCCAUCACCUUGCUAAACAGGACUCCUAACUGCAUGAACCUCUGUGAGACAUGCUCCCUUCAAAGUCCUAGCCCACAAAGGUCGUAGCUUGAGUGUUGAUUCCCAGAUGGUGGUGCUCUGUGUGGAGGUUUUUGGAACCUUUAAGAGGUGUGGCCUAGAUGAAUAGAUUGCUUGUGGACAGGUCUUGAAGAUUAUAUAGCUUGAUGUAUUUCCUGAUCCCCAAUACAGAUGCUACUGAUGGAAUCUCACUUGGCAUUCCUCCCUACCAUGAAGAACACUCUAUCCUUGUGGACCAAUAUAAGUAUCUUUUCUCUUACCUCUGUCAUGUGUUUUGCCACAGGAAGGAGGAAAGUAGCUACUGUAGGUACGAAUGUAAUUCACAGGGUCAUACAUCACAAACAAAAGGAUAAGCCAGGUGUGGUAGCCAUGCUUUUAAUCCCAGUACUCAAGACACAAGCAGGAAGGUCUUUUUGAGUUCAAGGGGAAUUGGCAGGGUGGGAAAAGUAUGAAAUUGUC